CUCUAUGGCCAUACCACCCCGAAUGCGCCUGAUCUUGUCUGAUCUUGGAAGCUAAGCAGGGUCGGUCCUGGUUAAUACUUGGAUGGGAGACAGAUAGUGCCCUUAUGUGAAGACAAAUCACAGAAU
Molecule: non-coding RNA, 126 nt
Organism: Heterocephalus glaber (naked mole-rat)
Lineage: Eukaryota; Metazoa; Chordata; Mammalia; Rodentia; Bathyergidae
Source: Rfam